RNAcentral lists this ribosomal RNA (393 nucleotides) under uncultured bacterium. Its description in RNAcentral is "partial 16S ribosomal RNA". It matches the Rfam family "Bacterial small subunit ribosomal RNA", at positions 523 to 918 of the family's 1533-position model. The record is from RNAcentral.
AUACGGAGGAUCCGAGCGUUAUCCGGAUUUAUUGGGUUUAAAGGGAGCGUAGAUGGAUGUUUAAGUCAGUUGUGAAAGUUUGCGGCUCAACCGUAAAAUUGCAGUUGAUACUGGAUAUCUUGAGUGCAGUUGAGGCAGGCGGAAUUCGUGGUGUAGCGGGGAAAUGCUUAGAUAUCACGAAGAACUCCGAUUGCGAAGGCAGCCUGCUAAGCUGCAACUGACAUUGAGGCUCGAAAGUGUGGGUAUCAAACAGGAUUAGAUACCCUGGUAGUCCACACGGUAAACGAUGAAUACUCGCUGUUUGCGAUAUACUGCAAGCGGCCAAGCGAAAGCGUUAAGUAUUCCACCUGGGGAGUACGCCGGCAACGGUGAAACUCAAAUGAAUUGACGGGG